GGUUACCAAGGCAGGGGAGGGAGGAGGAGGGGGAGGAGGAGGGGGAGGAGAAGAGGAGGAGGGGAAGAAGGGGGAGGAGGAGGAGAAGAGGAGGAGGGGGAGGAGGGAGAGGAGGAGGAGGAGGGGGAGGGGGAGGGGGAGGAGGAGGGGAAGGAGGAGGGAGAGGAGGAGGGAGAGGAGGAGGGAGAGGAGGAGGGAGAGGAGGAGGGAGAGGAGGAGGGAGAGGAGGAGGGAGAGGAGGAGGGAGAGGAGGAGGGAGAGGAGGAGGGAGAGGAGGAGGGAGAGGAGGAGGGAGAGGAGGAGGGAGAGGAGGAGGGAGAGGAGGAGGGAGAGGAGGAGGGAGAGGAGGAGGGAGAGGAGGAGGGGGAGGAGGGGGAGGAGGAGGGGGAGGAGGAGGGAGAGGAGGAGGGGGAGGAGGAGGAGGGGGAGGGGGAGGAGGAGGGAGAGGAGGAGGGAGAGGAGGAGGGAGAGGAGGAGGGAGAGGAGGAGGGAGAGGAGGAGGGAGAGGAGGAGGGAGAGGAGGAGGGAGAGGAGGAGGGAGAGGAGGAGGGAGAGGAGGAGGGGGAGGAGGAGGAGGGGGAGGAGGAGGGAGAGGAGGAGGGAGAGGAGGAGGGAGAGGAGGAGGGAGAGGAGGAGGGAGAGGAGGAGGGAGAGGAGGAGGGAGAGGAGGAGGGAGAGGAGGAGGGAGAGGAGGAGGGAGAGGAGGAGGGAGAGGAGGAGGGAGAGGAGGAGGGAGAGGAGGAGGGGGAGGAGGAGGAGGAGGGGGAGGAGGAGGGAGAGGAGGAGGGAGAGGAGGAGGGAGAGGAGGAGGGAGAGGAGGAGGGAGAGGAGGAGGGAGAGGAGGAGGGAGAGGAGGAGGGAGAGGAGGAGGGAGAGGAGGAGGGGGAGGGGGAGGAGGGGGAGGAGGAGAGAGGGAGACACAGAAUCCGAAACAGGCUCCAGGCUCCACGCUGUCAGCACAGAGCCCGACGCGGGGCUCGAACUCACAGACCGAGAAGAUCAUGAACCCUGAGUGAAGUCGGAACGCUCAACCGACUGAGCCGCCCAGG
This 1049-nucleotide long non-coding RNA is filed under the name Felis catus (domestic cat). RNAcentral describes it as "lncRNA (ENSFCAG00000047502.1)". Lineage: Eukaryota; Metazoa; Chordata; Mammalia; Carnivora; Felidae. The record is from RNAcentral.